Molecule: transfer RNA, 71 nt
Filed under: Candidatus Nealsoniibacteriota bacterium
Lineage: Bacteria; Candidatus Nealsoniibacteriota
Description: Candidatus Nealsonbacteria bacterium tRNA-Ala
Rfam family: tRNA
About the family: Transfer RNA (tRNA) molecules are approximately 80 nucleotides in length.
Source: RNAcentral
GGGCCUGUAGUAAAACGGCAUUACGCUACAUUCGCAUUGUAGAGGUCCGGGUCCAAUUCCCGGCAGGUCCA